Molecule: ribosomal RNA, 928 nt
Filed under: uncultured bacterium
Lineage: Bacteria
Description: bacterial SSU rRNA
Rfam family: Bacterial small subunit ribosomal RNA
Source: RNAcentral
UCGAACGGCAGCACGGGGGCAACCCUGGUGGCGAGUGGCGAACGGGUGAGUAACAUAUCGGAACGUGCCCUGGAGUGGGGGAUAACUAGUCGAAAGAUUAGCUAAUACCGCAUACGAUCUACGGAUGAAAGUGGGGGAUCGCAAGACCUCAUGCUCGUGGAGCGGCCGAUAUCUGAUUAGCUAGUUGGUGGGGUAAAGGCCUACCAAGGCAUCGAUCAGUAGCUGGUCUGAGAGGACGACCAGCCACACUGGGACUGAGACACGGCCCAGACUCCUACGGGAGGCAGCAGUGGGGAAUUUUGGACAAUGGGCGCAAGCCUGAUCCAGCAAUGCCGCGUGAGUGAAGAAGGCCUUCGGGUUGUAAAGCUCUUUUGUCAGGGAAGAAACGGUUCGGGUUAAUACCUUGGGCUAAUGACGGUACCUGAAGAAUAAGCACCGGCUAACUACGUGCCAGCAGCCGCGGUAAUACGUAGGGUGCAAGCGUUAAUCGGAAUUACUGGGCGUAAAGCGUGCGCAGGCGGUUGUGCAAGACAGAUGUGAAAUCCCCGGGCUCAACCUGGGAAUUGCAUUUGUGACUGUACGGCUAGAGUGUGUCAGAGGGGGGUAGAAUUCCACGUGUAGCAGUGAAAUGCGUAGAGAUGUGGAGGAAUACCGAUGGCGAANGCAGCCCCCUGGGAUAACACUGACGCUCAUGCACAAAAGCGCGGGGAGCAAACAGGAUUAGAUACCCUGGUAGUCCACGCCCUAAACGAUGUCUACUAGUUGUCGGGUCUUUAUUGACUUGGUAACGCAGCUAACGCGUGAAGUAGACCGCCUGGGGAGUACGGUCGCAAGAUUAAAACUCAAAGGAAUUGACGGGGNNCCGCACAAGCGGUGGAUGAUGUGGAUUAANUUCGAUGCAACGCGAAAAACCUUACCUACCCNUGAC